GGCGGACCAGAGUUGACUUAAACUCUGGGACCCGGGAGGCCAGCUCGUCCUCCUCUGUUACGUCUGAAGGACUCCGCGCUCGUCGGGUCAAAGAAGUAAACAUUGUGAAGGACACUGACAUGCUUGGGGUGAAAUUGCAAAAUAUACAGUGAUGAAGGAGUAACACCUAAUUUAAAGAUAUCUGAUCUGUGAAAUGGGGAUAUGGUACCUACCUCAUAGGAUUGUUGUCAUAACAGCACACUUGGAACAGUUCCUGGCACGUGAGAGAGAGAAACAUUGAUUUGUUCUACUUAUUUAUACAUUCAUU
Long non-coding RNA from Phyllostomus hastatus (greater spear-nosed bat), 307 nucleotides. RefSeq lists it as uncharacterized. The record is from RefSeq and is a predicted model, not a curated record. Lineage: Eukaryota; Metazoa; Chordata; Mammalia; Chiroptera; Phyllostomidae. The transcript has 4 exons.